GUCCACGCCGUAAACGAUGAGUACUAGGUGCUGCUGGUAUUGACCCCUGCGGUGCCGUCGCUAACGCAUUAAGUACUCCGCCUGGGAAGUACGGCUGCAAGGCUAAAACUCAAAGGAAUUGACGGGGGCCCGCACAAGCGGUGGAGCAUGUGGUUCAAUUCGACGCAACGCGAAGAACCUUACCCAGACUUGACAUCGAUGGAACCUGGUAGAAAUACCGGGGUGCCCUUCGGGGCCCAGAAGACAGGUGCUGCAUGGCUGUCGU
RNAcentral lists this ribosomal RNA (265 nucleotides) under uncultured bacterium. Its description in RNAcentral is "partial 16S ribosomal RNA". It matches the Rfam family "Bacterial small subunit ribosomal RNA", at positions 793 to 1055 of the family's 1533-position model. The record is from RNAcentral.